RNAcentral lists this long non-coding RNA (499 nucleotides) under Piliocolobus tephrosceles (Ugandan red Colobus). RNAcentral describes it as "lncRNA (ENSPTEG00000018096.1)". Lineage: Eukaryota; Metazoa; Chordata; Mammalia; Primates; Cercopithecidae. The record is from RNAcentral.
AUGAUUGAAAAAUGUGAAGAGAUCAAAUUAAAAUACUAUACUUGUUUAAAUGAAAGCAACAGAAAUCCAAAGAAAUGUAAGGUCAUUGAAGAAGAGUUAAGGGAUUGUUCUAAAACUACAGGGGAAAACUACUGCAUAGAUGAAAUCCAUAAUCUUAUGAAAUGCUCAAAGUCACCAGAUCCAAAUGUUUGUGCCAACGAAUUUUUCCUCUUCCGAGAAUGUAAUAGACCAGAUGGACAUCAUAUGACUAUAGAAGGAGACAAAUAUGUCAUUGCAGAAAAGCACUUGGAUAAAUACAACGUCAGUAACGCAACAAUUGGACCAGUGCAUGCUCCGGAAAGAAAUAAUGCAAAUACAGAAUCUUUUUUAGAAAAAAUGAAAUCAACAUUACACUUAAAAAACUUUAAGGAAAAAUUUGUAGCAUAUAAGUGGUAAAAAAAAAAACAAAUGAAGAUAUUACGAUUUGAUUUGAAAUAAGUUACAAAAGUUGUUUACUUUU